GAGAGUAGAGCGGCGGACGGGUGAGUAACGCGUAAGAAUCUACCUAGUAGUGGGGGACAACUCGGGGAAACUCGAGCUAAUACCGCAUACGCCCUACGGGGGAAAGCGGGGGACCUUCGGGCCUCGCGCUAUUAGAUGAGCUUGCGUUGGAUUAGCUUGUUGGUGAGGUAAUGGCUCACCAAGGCGACGAUCCAUAGCUGGUCUGAGAGGAUGAUCAGCCACACCGGGACUGAGACACGGCCCGGACUCC
This 250-nucleotide ribosomal RNA is filed under the name uncultured bacterium. RNAcentral's name for it is "partial 16S ribosomal RNA". It matches the Rfam family "Bacterial small subunit ribosomal RNA", at positions 86 to 339 of the family's 1533-position model. The record is from RNAcentral.